RNAcentral lists this ribosomal RNA (472 nucleotides) under uncultured bacterium. RNAcentral's name for it is "bacterial SSU rRNA". It matches the Rfam family "Bacterial small subunit ribosomal RNA", at positions 355 to 825 of the family's 1533-position model. The record is from RNAcentral.
UCGGGAAUUUUGGGCAAUGGGCGAAAGCCUGACCCAGCAACGCCGCGUGUGUGAAGAAGGCCUGAGGGUUGUAAAGCACUUUCAGUGGGGAGGAGUGUUGAUUGGUUAAGAGCUGAUUAAUUGGACGUUACCCACAGAAGAAGCACCGGCUAACUCCGUGCCAGCAGCCGCGGUAAUACAGAGGGUGCAAACGUUGUUCGGAUUUACUGGGCGUAAAGGGCGCGUAGGCGGCAUGACAAGUCACUUGUGAAAUCUCCGAGCUUAACUCGGAACGGUCAACUGAUACUGUCACACUAGAGUACAGAAGGGGCAAUCGGAAUUCUUGGUGUAGCGGUGAAAUGCGUAGAUAUCAAGAGGAACACCUGAGGCGAAGGCGGGUUGCUGGGCUGAUACUGACGCUGAGGCGCGAAAGCUAGGGUAGCAAACGGGAUUAGAUACCCUAGUAGUCCCUGAGCGGGCUGGCAAGGCGCAU